Labeo rohita (rohu) is the source of this 1951-nucleotide long non-coding RNA. RefSeq lists it as uncharacterized. NCBI's taxonomy places the organism in Eukaryota, Metazoa, Chordata, Actinopteri, Cypriniformes, Cyprinidae. The record is from RefSeq and is a predicted model, not a curated record. The transcript is spliced from 7 exons.
UGUAACACAGAAUACUUCCUAAAAAUGCAUUCAGAUACGUUUGUACAUAUCUACAGUUCUCUGGGGUUGCAUGUAUAAUUGUUACUUUUAAGUUUUAGCUUCGUGUAGUUCAGUAUAUACACUGUUGUGAAACAGUUGUGAGAGGACGUCCACAAGGUGACGUCCUUUACACGUGCAUUUAUAGUCCAUCAUGACCCUAUGAAAUCAGUAUGAAAUAUGCUAAAGCAAUUGUGCUUACACCUUGAUUAUUACUGUAAUAAUUUAUUUAAAUGCCCCAAGUAGUUUUAAGAGGCUGUGAAUAGACGACCUCGUCUAGUCAAGCAUUACAUUAAAAAUAAAUAAAUAAGUAAGUAAAUAAAUAAAUAAAAACAGGAAAUCGUAAUGAAAUACAAGUAAUUUGUAUUUACAUCUUGUUUAAUGAAUAUUCACAAAGUGCUGUGUGGUUAAGUGAUUACAAAGCCACUGAAUUUUAGUCAUAAUUCUGCCCGUUUUCCUUAAAUUGCAAUACGAUUUUAUUAUUUUAAGUUUAUGCAUAUACAUAUAAAACAAAUAUCUUCAGUCACCAUUUGAAGUCUGAGUUGGGUGUAGAUUGCCAAAACUGUGCUGCCAAGAUGUUGUAACAAAUCUCGCGAUAGGAUAGAUCAUCUCGCGAUGGGAUAGAUUAUCUCGCGAUGGGAUAGAUUAGCUCGCAAUACAAUACAUUAUCUCGCGAGAAAACUUUAACACGUUUUUAUCUUUCCAUAACCAGGAGGAGAGCGCGUCUUUGUGUUGCAAAGCUUUAUGUGUUGAUUUAUUACAAAAUCACUGGUGGUGGAUGCACAACAUGACACCAUCAACGUCAACAACAUUCAUGGACCCGUGGACACAUGUUGAGGUGGUCACAUAACGAACAGCCAUCUGUCAGGCCAUGUGCCACAACCAAACAAGUAUUGUCUCCAGUCCCAAAUGCUUCAUUGCCAUCCCAGUCCCAGAGGACCCCCCAGGGUAAAGUACAGCCAGCUAAUCUGACAGUAACUAAUGCAGUAAAAUGGUCCUCGAGAGCCACUGCCUGGCUUGUUUUCCAGCUGUCCCUGCCCUUCCAGCUUCUGACUGACAACACACCUGAUCCAUUACUAAUCAGCAGUGAGUAAGGCAUGGAUAGUUGGUAAACAAGCAGAGUCAUGUCAAAUGCUUAAUGGCCAAAUGAAUGUAUGAGGGGUGGUGGCCAACUUUCAAAGCAUUUCAAAGCUACAGCUUUGUACUAUGUAAUUUAAGAUGCUCUGAAGAGGUGGAGUCCAACUGCCACAGACUCCGAAAUUGAUGCAUCAAUGGCGGAACACCUAAAACACGCUCCAGGAAGAGCUGGGGGCGGUGGUUAUAAGAAAUAAGCUGUUUUGAGAGACAUUUACAUGUGUGUUUACUUUAAUCCAGUAUUUUUGUUUUGUACUUGUUUGAUUUAUAGCUGUUUAAAAUUUAAUGCAAAACUGUUUCAAUUAAAAAAAUUGAGUACUGCCACAAUAAUAAUGCUUCUGGAACUUAAACAAGUGCUUGUGGAGCAACAAAAUGAUAGUAAAAAUUUUGGAAUAAUGAUAAAUGAAUAAAAGAUUAUAAAUAUACAUAUGUGUUCACUUUUAUCCGUUACCUUGGUUAUGGUCUUGUUUGAAUAAUGGCUACUUAAAAUUAAUGUCAAGCUUUGAGAAAAUUGGUGCAUGCUUAGAAUUAACUACAUUAUACUAUUUCUAUUUUCAUGUUUAAAUAGUAGCUGUUUAACAAAUGGAAGACCUUGAAAAAAAUGUAAUAUGCACAAAAUAUGUUGUAGUAAAUUAGAACGGUCUAAUUCUUGCUUAAGUCCACCCACAAAAUGUUUUAUUGUUUGUAAUGUACACGUGAUUAAAACGUUUUGUAGACGUUCAGGUCUGACUGGACCGACUUUGGACCGUUUUUGAACUUGUAGUAAGUUAAGGUGUCUAAA